Molecule: ribosomal RNA, 885 nt
Filed under: uncultured marine group I thaumarchaeote
Lineage: Archaea; Thermoproteati; Nitrososphaerota
Description: SSU rRNA
Rfam family: Archaeal small subunit ribosomal RNA
Source: RNAcentral
CUGCCGGACCUGACUGCUAUCGGAUUGAUACUAAGCCAUGCGAGUCUUUGUAGUAAUACAAGGCAGACGGCUCAGUAACACGUAGUCAACCUACCCUAUGGACAAGAAUAAUCUCGGGAAACUGGGCAUAAUUCUUGAUAGAUCAUAAUGCCUGGAAUGGUUUAUGGUUAAAAUGAUUCGUCGCCAUAGGAUGGGACUGCGGCCUAUCAGCUUGUUGGUGAGGUAAUGGCCCACCAAGGCGAUUACAGGUACGGGCUCUGAGAGGAGAAGCCCGGAGAUGGGUACUGAGACACGGACCCAGGCCCUAUGGGGCGCAGCAGGCGAGAAAACUUCGCAAUGUGCGAAAGCACGACAAGGUUAAUCCGAGUGAUUUCUGCUAAAGAAAUCUUUUGCCAGUCAUAAAACCACUGGUGAAUAAGGGGUGGGCAAGUUCUGGUGUCAGCCGCCGCGGUAAAACCAGCACCUCAAGUGGUCAGGAUGAUUAUUGGGCCUAAAGCAUCCGUAGCCGGCUUUGUAAGUUUUCGGUUAAAUCCAUGUGCUCAACGCAUGGGCUGCCGAAAAUACUGCAUGGCUAGGGAGUGGGAGAGGUAGACGGUACUCAGUAGGAAGGGGUAAAAUCCUUUGAUCUAUUGAUGACCACCUGUGGCGAAGGCGGUCUACCAGAACACGUUCGACGGUGAGGGAUGAAAGCUGGGGGAGCAAACCGGAUUAGAUACCCGGGUAGUCCCAGCUGUAAACGAUGCAGACUCGAUGAUGCAUUGGCAUAAUAGCCAGUGCAGUGUCGCAGGGAAGCCGUUAAGUCUGCCGCCUGGGAAGUACGUACGCAAGUAUGAAACUUAAAGGAAUUGGCGGGGAGCACCACAAGGGUGAAGCCUGCGGUUCAAU